ACGGUUCUGUUACGGUGUAGA
RNAcentral lists this microRNA (21 nucleotides) under Strigamia maritima. RNAcentral's name for it is "smr-miR-3930-5p". The record is from miRBase by way of RNAcentral. Lineage: Eukaryota; Metazoa; Arthropoda; Chilopoda; Geophilomorpha; Linotaeniidae.